CAGUAGUGACAGGUCAGAGACAGAA
RNAcentral lists this non-coding RNA (25 nucleotides) under Cricetulus griseus (Chinese hamster). Lineage: Eukaryota; Metazoa; Chordata; Mammalia; Rodentia; Cricetidae. The record is from RNAcentral.